GUGCCCUACGGGAGGCAGCAGUGGGGAAUAUUGGGCAAUGGGCGCAAGCCUGACCCAGCAACGCCGCGUGAAGGAAGAAGGCUUUCGGGUUGUAAACUUCUUUUCUCAGGGACGAAGCAAGUGACGGUACCUGAGGAAUAAGCCACGGCUAACUACGUGCCAGCAGCCGCGGUAAUACGCAGGUGGCAAGCGUUAUCCGGAUUUACUGGGUGUAAAGGGCGUGUAGGCGGGAAAGCAAGUCAGAUGUUAAAACCAUAUGCUCAACCUGUGGCCUGCAUUUGAAACUGUUUUUCUUGAGUACUGGG
RNAcentral lists this ribosomal RNA (305 nucleotides) under uncultured bacterium. RNAcentral describes it as "bacterial SSU rRNA". It matches the Rfam family "Bacterial small subunit ribosomal RNA", at positions 334 to 653 of the family's 1533-position model. The record is from RNAcentral.